Molecule: ribosomal RNA, 508 nt
Filed under: uncultured bacterium
Lineage: Bacteria
Description: bacterial SSU rRNA
Rfam family: Bacterial small subunit ribosomal RNA
Source: RNAcentral
AAUCAACGCUGGCGGCGUGCCUAACACAUGCAAGUCGAACGCGAAAGGGGCUUCGGCCCUGAGUAGAGUGGCGAACGGGUGAGUAACACGUGGGUGACCUACCUUCGAGUGGGGGAUAACGUCCCGAAAGGGACGCUAAUACCGCAUGACAUCCCGCCUUUGAACAGGUGGAGAUCAAAGCUGGGGAUCGCAAGACCUGGCGCUUGAUGAGGGGCCCGCGUCUGAUUAGCUAGUUGGUGAGGUAACGGCUCACCAAGGCGACGAUCAGUAUCCGGCCUGAGAGGGCGGACGGACACACUGGGACUGAGACACGGCCCAGACUCCUACGGGAGGCAGCAGUGGGGAAUUGUUUGCAAUGGGCGCAAGCCUGACGACGCAACGCCGCGUGGAGGAUGAAGGUCUUCGGAUUGUAAACUCCUGUUGCCCGGGACGAAUGGCUCCGACCUAACACGUCGGAGUGUGACGGUACCGGGUGAGGAAGCCCCGGCUAACUCUGUGCCAGCAGCCG